This is a non-coding RNA of Phascolarctos cinereus (koala), 1604 nucleotides long. NCBI's taxonomy places the organism in Eukaryota, Metazoa, Chordata, Mammalia, Diprotodontia, Phascolarctidae. The record is from RefSeq and is a predicted model, not a curated record.
GUCUCUCUCUCCCUGUCUCUUUCUCUCUGUGUCUCUCACCUUCCCUCCUCCCCUUCAUCCACCCACCAAUCAAUUACAACUCCUGUGUUAGGCGCCUGCUUUGUGCAGGGCAGUGCUGGGCAGUGCUGGGCGGUGUGUAGACAAAGACAGAAAAGACCCAACAGGGCCCUGGCACCCAGAGCAGUUUCUCCUGUUUCUCUGCUCUUGCGCACCUAUUUCAGUUCCAGAUUUUCUGUGGCUAUGAGCGAGGACCACUUUUGUUCCUGUGGGAUUUUUCUUGCUGACUGGUUUAUAGCCUCAGAUGAAGGGUUGGUAGGGACAAAAAGUCAGAACAACCUGAUAUCUUCUCUUGCGUAAUUCCACUUUGUUUUCCAGAAUGACAGCUGGGAAUUGACCCGCCCUUCUCCCCCAACUUCUCCAGGGGGUUCUGGGAGGCGGAGAGGGGCUCUUCCCUCCCCGGCCAAUCACCCCCUCCUCACUUCACCUUGCCAGAAAUAUCAGUCCUGCCUCAUCUUCCUACAAACACUAACAAUAACAACCCCUUCUCUUGGAGACAGAGCUCUUUGGGGCUCAUGCUGGCUGGAACCCUGAGAAUCAGAGGACUGGAGGAGACCCUGAGGGCCUUCAUGAAUUUCUUUCUCUGAGGAGUUUCUUUCUUCAGGUCUGACCCAAGCUGGCCCAUUUGCUGGGCAGUCUCUGCUCUGGUGACCCCACAGAAGUCUGUUUCCUAAAUUCAGAAAAGAUGCUGAGCCUUUGGGUUUUUAGAACAGGCCAAGACCUCCAGCUGGCUCAGUAUGUGGGGUCCAAGGCACUGUGCCCACUGAUAGACUGGCAGGGUAAGCCAUUUGGAGAGGGCCUUCUUUCUCAGCUAGAUGCAGAGUUAGAAGGGACCCCCAGAGGCCCCGGAAUCCAGCCCCCUCAUCUUCAGGGUGGGGAGUAAACUGGCCAGGCAGGCUUUGAAGCAAGGCCUCAGACUCCAGGAGAGCUGCAGUGGGCUUGGUCCCCGAUGCUGCCCCACCCCCUCCUCCCUAAAUAAAUGGCCUUGCAGGCUCAGUGGAGGCCCAGGGGUGGGGCAGGCAGCUGCUGAGAGCUUUGUCCUCUGCCUCCCCUGUUGUUCAGUGUUUCCUGGCACUGAGUCACCAACUCCCGGCAGUGAGGGGCGUGGCUCCUUGGCUCCCAGCCCAGUGACUUCGGCUGCCCACAGCAAGAACCAUCUUUGAACCACUGCCUAGGACACCAUAUUUGGUCUUCUCUGUUUAUCGUUUCAGCCAGCUUCCCCUCCCAGUUACCAGGGACUCCUGGUUGUUUUUUGUUUGUCCUUGACGUGGAAGGACUCAAGCAGCAGAGCCAUUACCCCAAAUGGCCUCCCUUCCCCAGCCAAGGGGUUCUACAGAGAUCUUCUGAUUUCCCAAGCACCCUGUCCCAGGAAUCCUCCUUGUCCAGAUCCAGGCCCACAGGCCCCUUGGAGGGCUCCCAUCACCCUCACCGUCCAACCCCGACGCCCCCUUUCUGCAGGGUGUCCCCGGGGAGAAGCUUAUGGAAGAUUUGUUUGAAUUCUGACGCUCCUCCCCCAGUGCUACAGCUUGUUAACGGAGGCUGGGAGG